UGUGGGAAUUUUGUGUUUAUUGUUUAAGUUGGAAAAGUUGGUGAUAUAGGCUGUUCUUGAUUUUUUGUGUUAUAGUUUCAGAAAUCGUAGAGUUUCAUUACUGUUAUAUUUUUUGUGUAUACUGUUUACAAUGAUCAAGCUAUAAGCUCUACACUUAUUAAUCAUUCUUGGUAUUGGUUUUGUGUGCAUUUUUCGUAUCUUGAAUCUCGACGCUGUAGUUUAUUCUUCAUGAAUUAAUGCACUUAUGUAUGUAAAGGCAUUUGAAAAGUGGACUCGCUUAGGGAAAUAAGCAGCCUCAUUUGAUUGCAUGUGGACUAUUGUUCUUUAACUGCUACUCUUGAGAUUUUGUCAUCAAUGUUGUUUAUUGUCUUCUUGAACAAGUUAGUGCUUUUGUUUUGCUGUCAAAAUGCAGGGAAAACAGGUGAUGUCUGAGUUGGAUUUUGCUGCUGAAAUUCUCCCAAACUGUAUCAAGAUCUUAGCAGUGACAGGGACUAAUGGAAAGUCAAUUGUUGUCACUUUUGCUGGACAGAUGCUUAAUCAUUUGGGUAUCAACACAUUUUUAGGGGGGUAAUCUUGGAAAUCCACUCUCAGAGGCUGCUUUCCAGUGCUUACAGAACCCCCUUCUAAAACCAAAGUUUAAGAUAUCGCUACAUUUUUCUGGGUUGCUGUGGUGGAGGUUAGCAGUUACCAAAUGGAAAUUCUCAGCAAGUACUUCUGCCCUUCUGUAGCUGUAGUGUUAAACCUUACACCUGAUCAUUUAGAAAGGCACAGGACAAUGAGAGACCAUGCAGUGACUAUGCUUGAGUGUUGAGUGUUUGACAGUUUGAGAGUUUUGCGUGUUUGAUAGUUUAAUGCUUUCAUCAGUUUCAUCUUUCAUGCUUUGAUAGUUUGGGAGUUUGCAGGAAAUUGCUAAUUUGCUAUGCAUGAUGUUGAUUGUUGAAUAUGUAGAUUGUAGAUAAUGUUGAGUUUGAAUGACUGAAUAGACUGUGCAAUAUUGAAUCAUUUGAAUGUAUGUAUGGA
This is a long non-coding RNA of Rosa rugosa (rugosa rose), 1020 nucleotides long. RefSeq lists it as uncharacterized. NCBI's taxonomy places the organism in Eukaryota, Viridiplantae, Streptophyta, Magnoliopsida, Rosales, Rosaceae. The transcript has 4 exons. The record is from RefSeq and is a predicted model, not a curated record.